This 253-nucleotide ribosomal RNA is filed under the name uncultured bacterium. RNAcentral's name for it is "partial 16S ribosomal RNA". It matches the Rfam family "Bacterial small subunit ribosomal RNA", at positions 524 to 776 of the family's 1533-position model. The record is from RNAcentral.
UACGUAGGGACCAAGCGUUGUUCGGAUUUACUGGGCGUAAAGGGCGCGUAGGCGGCGUGGUAAGUCACUUGUGAAAUCUCUGAGCUUAACUCAGAACGGCCAAGUGAUACUGCUGUGCUAGAGUGCAGAAGGGGCAAUCGGAAUUCUUGGUGUAGCGGUGAAAUGCGUAGAUAUCAGGAGGAACACCUGCGGUGUAGACGGCUUUCUGGACCAUUGCUGACGCUGAGACACGAAAGCGUGGGUAGCAAACAGG